This is an RNA transcript of Lotus japonicus, 1619 nucleotides long. RefSeq lists it as uncharacterized. The record is from RefSeq and is a predicted model, not a curated record. The transcript is spliced from 13 exons. Lineage: Eukaryota; Viridiplantae; Streptophyta; Magnoliopsida; Fabales; Fabaceae.
AUGCUGCAAAGGAGUUGAUCAAGUUUCACAUUUCAGUCACACUCACUGCUCACAUUGUUACUCAAAAACCCUAAAAUUGAAGAACUCAUUCAGAAAAUGAAGACUAUUCCUCUGAUUCUCAUCGGUUGUGGAGGUGUUGGUUGUCACCUUCUCCAACACAUUGUCUCAUGCCGCUCUCUUCACUCUACUCAGGGUCUCUGCUUGAGAGUUGUGGGAGUUGCUGAUAGUAAAUCUCUGGUGGUUGUGGAGGAUUUGUUGAAUAAGGGGUUGGAUGACAGCUUCUUGCUAGAACUUUGCCAGGUCAAGCGCGGUGGAGAAUCGCUAUCAAAACUUAGUCAUUUUGGAGAAUGCCGGGUAUUUGUGCAUCCGGAAUCACAAGGAAAGAUUUUAGAGAUUGCAUCUCAACUAGGUAAAAGGACAGGUUUGGUCUUAGUAGAUUGCUCUGCUAGCUCUGACACUAUUGCGGUGUUAAAACAAGGGGUUGAUAUGGGUUGUUGUGUUGUUAUGGCAAAUAAGAAGCCACUUACAUCUACAAUGGAGGAUUUUGAAAAACUUUUCACGCAUCCGCGUCGUAUCCGGCAUGAGUCAACUGUAGGUGCUGGUCUUCCUGCGAUAGCAUCCGUAAAUCGCAUAAUCUCUUCUGGUGAUCCUGUUCAUCGCAUUAUUGGGAGUUUGAGUGGGACUUUGGGAUACGUAAUGAGUGAAGUUGAAGAUGGAAAGCCACUGAGCCAAGUUGUUAGAGCUGCUAAAAGUCUGGGGUACACUGAACCGGAUCCACGUGAUGACCUUGGUGGGAUGGAUGUCGCAAGAAAGGCUUUAAUUCUUGCUCGAAUACUUGGUCGUCAGAUUAGUUUGGAUAACAUUCAGAUUGAGAGCUUGUAUCCCAAAGAAAUGGGCCCUGAUGUAAUGACUGUUGAAGACUUCCUGGGCCAUGGACUCUUGUUGCUUGAUAAAGAUAUUCAAGAGAGAGUUGAGAAGGCAGCUUCAAAUGGAAAUGUGCUGCGCUAUGUCUGUGUGAUUGAGGGCCCAAGGUGUGAAGUUGGUGUUCAAGAGCUUCCAAAGAAUUCUCCCCUCGGAAGACUAAGGGGAAGUGAUAAUGUGUUGGAAAUAUACACUCGAUGCUAUAGUGAUCAACCGCUGGUUAUUCAAGGUGCUGGAGCUGGAAAUGACACUACUGCAGCUGGUGUCCUUGCUGAUAUUGUGGAUGUUCAGGAUUUAUUUCCAUGAGUGGAAAGUUUCUGUCUUGAAUUUAAAGAAUGUGGUACAGUUGCUACACACCCUGGAAUCUUGCUGAUAAUAUAUUCUUGGUCCUCAUGCAUGGUACCCAUUUUUAAUUUGAUAUCUAUAUGGCUGUCAAUUUAAUCCUAUGGCCUGCAUAUUUUUCAAGUGGAUAGUGGAGCUUAGCUGCUGGCUUCAGAGGGAUGUUGAAUAUUACUAGAUUACUUUAGACACAUCAUUUCCACCUCAAAGAUAUUAUAGUGUCUGUUAUGUGGGAAAUGUAUUUCUGUAUUUUGUUAGGUUCGUACAAAAAAUAAAAGAAUCAUGAGGGAUUGAUUGAAUUUAAUAAAAGAACUAUUUCUGGAUGAAAUAUAGAUGGUGUUUAAGUGAAUCAUGAUGUU